This 253-nucleotide ribosomal RNA is filed under the name uncultured bacterium. RNAcentral's name for it is "partial 16S ribosomal RNA". It matches the Rfam family "Bacterial small subunit ribosomal RNA", at positions 524 to 776 of the family's 1533-position model. The record is from RNAcentral.
UACGUAGGGUGCGAGCGUUGUCCGGAAUUAUUGGGCGUAAAGAGCUUGUAGGCGGUUUGUCGCGUCUGCUGUGAAAAUCCGGGGCUCAACCCCGGACUUGCAGUGGGUACGGGCAGACUAGAGUGUGGUAGGGGAGACUGGAAUUCCUGGUGUAGCGGUGGAAUGCGCAGAUAUCAGGAGGAACACCGAUGGCGAAGGCGGGUCUCUGGAACGGUACUGACGCUGAGACGCGAAAGCGUGGGGAGCGAACAGG